CUAAGCGAAAGGGAAAAGUUUUACCUCGUUUGGAGGCCAGAAAGUGCUCUGGUGUGGCGGCGGUCAGUUCCUCCUGUGGCUGGGCUGUCUUCUCCGGCGAGGGCUCUGGCGGCUAGGGUUUGGGGUUGGGUGUAGAUGAGAUUAUUUAUAACCUUUCCCUUUUAAUCUGAGCCGUCCAUCACGAUUUAAUCUGGACCGUCCGAUUGCGAUUAAAGUGGAAAUGAAUCUAGACUGUCCAUCGCGAUGCGAUCUGGGCCGUCCGCACGCGCGUUUGAUCUAGACCGUCCGUCUGAUCACCCGAACACGAAUCGCCCACGUGGCCUCCCGCAUCAUCGUCUCUGCCACGCAGCGUAUCCUAGUUGGUCGAGGCUGCUGACCGGGUUGCUGACGUGGCUGCUGACAUGGUGUAAUCCAAAUUUUCACCCCUUUUUUCCAAAAUUGUAU
This 444-nucleotide long non-coding RNA is filed under the name Carica papaya (papaya). RNAcentral describes it as "long non-coding RNA (CPAP_LNC000385)". Lineage: Eukaryota; Viridiplantae; Streptophyta; Magnoliopsida; Brassicales; Caricaceae. The record is from RNAcentral.